GUGGUUUGAUCAUGGCUCAGAUUGAACGCUGGCGGGAUGCUUUACACAUGCAAGUCGAACGGCAGCACGGACUUCGGUCUGGUGGCGAGUGGCGAACGGGUGAGUAAUGUAUCGGAAUCCGCCUAGUAGCGGGGGAUAACUACGCGAAAGCGUAGCUAAUACCGCAUACGCCCUUCGGGGGAAAGCGGGGACCUUCGGGCCUCGCACUAUUAGAGCGGCCGAUAUCGGAUUAGCUAGUUGGUGGGGUAACGGCUCACCAAGGCGACGAUCCGUAGCCGGUUUGAGGACGACCAGCCACACGGCUGGGACUGGGAGACACGGCCCAGACUCCUACGGGAGGCAGCAGUGGGGAAUUUUGGACAAUGGGGGAAAUCCCUGAUCCAGCCAUCCUGCGUGCGAUGAAGGCCUUCGGGUUGUAAAAGCACUUUUGGCAGGAAAGAAACGGCAUCGAUAAUACCCCGUGCAACUGACGGUACCUGCAGAAUAAGCACCGGCUAACUACGUGCCAGCAGCCGCGGUAAUACGUAGGGUGCAAGCGUUAAUCGGAAUUACUGGGCGUAAAGCGCAGCAGGCGGUUCGGCAGGAUGAAACCGCAGAGCUUAACUUUGGAACUGCAUUUUUAACUACCGAGCUAGAGUGUGUCAGAGGGAGGUGGAAUUCCGCGUGUAGCAGGAAAACGCGUAGAUAUGCGGGAGGAACACCGACGGCGCGGCAGCCUCCUUCUGGGAUAACACUGACGCUCAUGCACGAAAGCGUGGGGAGCAAACAGGAUUAGAUACCCCAGUCUCACGCCCUAAACGAUGUCAACUAGCUGUUGGGGCUUUCGGGCCUUAUAGCGUGCAGUUAACGCGUGAAGUUGACCGCCUGGGGUAUACGGUCAAGAUUUAAACUCCAAAGAAUUGACGGGGACCCGUCGCUGCGGUGGAUGAUGACGACUCCGAUGCAACGAAAACCUUACCUACCCUUGACAUGUCUGGAAUGCCGAAGAGAUUUGGCAGUGCUCGCAAGAGAACCGGGAACAGGUGCCGUACGGCUGCCGUCAGCUCGUGUCGUGAGAUGCUGGGUUAAGUCCCGCAACGAGCGCAACCCCGUCAUUAGUUGCUAUGAAAGGGCACUCUAAUGAGACUGCCGGUGACAAACCGAGGAAGGUGGGGAUGACGUCAAGUCCUCAUGGCCCUUAUGGGUAGGGCUUCACAUCGUCAUACAAUGGUCGGGACAGAGGGUCGCCAACCCGCGAGGGGAGCCAAUCCAGAAACCGAUCGUAGUCCGGAUCGCAGUCUGCAACUCGACUGCGGAAGUCGGAAUCGCUAGUAAUCGCGGAUCACAUGUCGCGGUGAAUACGUUCCCGGGUCUGCACACACCGCCCGUCACUGGGAGUGGGUUUUACCAGAAGUAGUUAGCCUAACUGCAAGGGGGCGAUUACCACGGUAGGAUUCAUGACUGUGAAGUCGUAACAAGGGU
RNAcentral lists this ribosomal RNA (1461 nucleotides) under uncultured Bordetella sp. RNAcentral's name for it is "partial 16S-23S ribosomal RNA intergenic spacer". It matches the Rfam family "Bacterial small subunit ribosomal RNA". Lineage: Bacteria; Pseudomonadati; Pseudomonadota; Betaproteobacteria; Burkholderiales; Alcaligenaceae. The record is from RNAcentral.